AAGACACGAACCACAUAUUUACCUCUACAUUGUGACAGGAGGUAUCCCUUUAGAAUUAGUGUAAAAAAAAAUUUAAAGCAAAAGUGAAACACAUGAUGUGAUACUGGACUUGAAGGAACCUAUGAGUUACUGCAAAUGCGACUGUCCUAGCCUUCUCUCAUAGAGUCACUCCACAGUCAACAGGGAAACGUGAGCAAAACAGACGUGCAAAGCAAAACAGUUUCAGCUGUGAAGUGGCGGGCAGAUUUAUCCUUCCACUGUAGUUGUGAAGCACCAAACAUGCGUUGAAACUGGCAACUGACAAGAAAGUUGCAAGUAGUCACAGAUGGGGUCCCUGUUUUCAAAGCAACCGUUUCAAAGGGGAUUGACCUGGUUAGCUCAAACCAGACCAAUGAGCAAACAGAGAAAUGGCAACUGAGUGGGAGGAGGCUUGUUUUACAAGGAUGUAGGUAUAACCAGAGCCUGUUCACCUCCAGUGAAUGCCAUUGUAUCGAAAUUGGCUGCUUUCUACCUCGAGGAGCUCGGGAAUUUGUCCUUGAUGAAUGGGAGUGAAGUCGGUUAAA
Oreochromis niloticus (Nile tilapia) is the source of this 563-nucleotide long non-coding RNA. RefSeq lists it as uncharacterized. NCBI's taxonomy places the organism in Eukaryota, Metazoa, Chordata, Actinopteri, Cichliformes, Cichlidae. The transcript has 3 exons. The record is from RefSeq and is a predicted model, not a curated record.